UACGAAGGGGGCUAGCGUUGUUCGGAUUUACUGGGCGUAAAGCGCACGUAGGCGGAUCGUUAAGUCGGGGGUGAAAUCCUGGAGCUCAACUCCAGAACUGCCUUCGAUACUGGCGAUCUUGAGUCCGGAAGAGGUGAGUGGAACUCCUAGUGUAGAGGUGGAAUUCGUAGAUAUUAGGAAGAACACCAGUGGCGAAGGCGGCUCACUGGCUCGUAACUGACGCUCAUGCACGACAGCGUGGGGAUCAAACAGG
RNAcentral lists this ribosomal RNA (253 nucleotides) under uncultured bacterium. RNAcentral's name for it is "partial 16S ribosomal RNA". It matches the Rfam family "Bacterial small subunit ribosomal RNA", at positions 524 to 776 of the family's 1533-position model. The record is from RNAcentral.